AUGGUGCACCUAUCACAUGGGUCUGAUGUAUUUUGAUGGAACCUUCGUGGGAAUGGAAAAUUCUCAGUGGAUUCCAUGUAUAGAGCGUUAAUCCAGUCUGAUGUGCCAGUUGAUAAUAAUAAGACCUGGAAGAUGAAGAUACCUCUUAAGAAUAAAAUCUUUGCAUGGUAUCUCCGUCUCGGAGUCAUUCUUACUAAAGAUAACCUUAUUAAGAGGAAUUGGCAUGGAAGUCCGCAAUGUGUCUUUUGUCACCAUGAUGAGACAAUAAAACAUUUAUUCUUCCAAUGCAAAUUGGCUCGUUCUAUAUGGUUAGUCAUUCAAAUAGUUUCUGGCUUGUAUCCUCCUUGUAGUGUUGCUAAUGUAUUUGGCAACUAG
RNAcentral lists this ribosomal RNA (375 nucleotides) under Triticum aestivum (bread wheat). RNAcentral's name for it is "partial small subunit ribosomal RNA". The record is from RNAcentral. Lineage: Eukaryota; Viridiplantae; Streptophyta; Magnoliopsida; Poales; Poaceae.